GAUCAUGGCUCAGGAUGAACGCUAGCGGGAGGCCUAAUACAUGCAAGCCGAACGGUAACAGGUAGCAAUACGCUGACGAGUGGCGCACGGGUGCGUAACGCGUACACAAUCUGCCUUAUACUGGGGCAUAGCCUUUGGAAACGAAGAAUAAUUCCCCAUAAUAUAUAGAAGAGGCAUCUCUUUUAUAUUAAAGCUCAGGCGGUAUAAGAUGAGUGUGCGUCCGAUUAGGUAGUUGGUGAGGUAACGGCUCACCAAGCCAACGAUCGGUAGCUGGUCUGAGAGGAUGAUCAGCCACACGGGCACUGAGACACGGGCCCGACUCCUACGGGAGGCAGCAGUAGGGAAUAUUGGACAAUGGGCGCAAGCCUGAUCCAGCCAUCCCGCGUGAAGGAUGAAGGUCCUCUGGAUUGUAAACUUCUUUUCUUCGGGAAUAAAAACUGGGGGUUCUCCUCAGCUUGAAGGUACCGAAGGAAUAAGCACCGGCUAACUCCGUG
This 494-nucleotide ribosomal RNA is filed under the name uncultured bacterium. RNAcentral describes it as "bacterial SSU rRNA". It matches the Rfam family "Bacterial small subunit ribosomal RNA", at positions 15 to 507 of the family's 1533-position model. The record is from RNAcentral.